GUUACGUCAUACAUCCCAAACUCUUCCAUUAGUCACGCUAACGGACAGCUAAACAAGCUCUAUUCAAACCAGUAUGUGAUCGAGAGCGAAAGUGUCACACGCGUACUACGACACACACGAGGCUCUGCGUGCACGACCAUAAAAAUAACGGUAUUUAUUACUAGAGAGCUGUGAGCGUUCGUGUGCACCGCGUGUGACUUUGCUCUUGAACGAGAUGAGUUUAAUCACGAUUUCGACGCCGCACACAGUCCGUUCUCUACGCGGGCCUCGCCUAUAUAAGAGCAUGGCCAUGCCGCUUCUGCUUACUUUCCCUGGAACACCUGAACCUGGCAGUGUAUAGUCUGCUUUCCUGACGUGGCUUUUACAGUUGAACGACGAUGAGGCUAAUCUUGGCAACGCUUCUACUGGCGGCGACAGCUUUCGUCGUUGCUGACGAACACUUCCAGGACGCGCUGCCGACGGACGACACUCGGGAUCCCCGCCAGGUCGAGUUCAGCUUCACCUUCGACGACGACGACGAGAAGGAGGAGUCCGGCCGCGGCUUCGGCGACUCCUUCGAGGCUGACGGCUUCUACUCAGUCCGCAGGGCGUCCCGGUUUCCCGGCAGUCCGCUCUCCGGUACAGAGUAAUGGUCACGCACCUCCUCCAUCGACGCCCAGGCCGUCCGAGGCCCCGGAGGCGACUAUCAGAGCAGUCAGGAGUCACCAAGACGGACGCCCUAGAGCGCGCCGCCCCGUCCGCCGCCCGCACCGCUUCCGCCGUCCCUUCGCCGGGGGCGCGCGCCCUUUCCGACCCCAGCGGGAGUCCAUUGGGCAGAACUCUCUCGAGGACGACUUUGGUCCCGGAUUCGUCGGCAGCGGCGGCCCUGUCCGAGGUAAUGUCUACCGCGGCCGAGAGGAGGGAGUCAUGGGAUUCUUGGAGUCCUUCAGAAGGCUCAUUAGGAGAAUGAUCUAAGUCCCUGCACGCGAGCCAAUCCAUCCCUCCAGCAGCCCUUGCCCUUGAGACAGAGCUCAGAAUAGAGGUCCUCGCCCUUCACACAGAGAGACAGGAUGGCUAUACCAGUCUCUGCGGAUGACCCUGCCUGGUUCUCAAAGUGAAAUCCUAAGAGAGUUUUCGCCCGCGGUGAAGAACGCGUUCCGCUGGCCGAGUUUUCUGCAAGAACAGACGAAUCAUAAGUAGUCUAUUAGAAGUCUGCAUGUAACAUCACUUGUUUUCUAUGAAGUACCUGCACACCUAUGAAGUUUUUGUCUUCGUGAUAAGCACUUGUGAUAUUUGUUUUGAUAUAUGAAUCUGUACAACACAUUUACAUUGAGCAUAGAUACAUUUCCACACUUUAUAUAGAUUGAUUAUGAUGCGACAUUAAUAUUUGUUAUGAUAGCCUAGUGCUGGCCGCUGAGGCUGACAUUUGUUAAUAAAGACAGUAGAUUUAUUAGUGCCUAAUUCAUUGCGUAUACCUUUAGAUUAAUCAUUAAUAAAUGUUUUGUAAACUCUUACAUUUUUUAUUACAUGUUUUUGACAGCUAUAA
RNAcentral lists this unclassified non-coding RNA (1525 nucleotides) under Penaeus japonicus. RNAcentral's name for it is "uncharacterized LOC122266759, transcript variant X1". The record is from RNAcentral. Lineage: Eukaryota; Metazoa; Arthropoda; Malacostraca; Decapoda; Penaeidae.